Schistosoma haematobium is the source of this 45-nucleotide non-coding RNA. Lineage: Eukaryota; Metazoa; Platyhelminthes; Trematoda; Strigeidida; Schistosomatidae. The record is from Rfam.
AUCUAACUGAUGAGUCUCAAAUAGGACGAGACGUGUGUGCUGGAU